GCACAAGCGGUGGAUGAUGUGGAUUAAUUCGAUGCAACGCGAAAACCUUACUACCCUUGACAUGUCCGGAAUCCCGAAGAGAUUUGGGAGUGCUCGCAAGAGAACCGGAACACAGGUGCUGCAUGGCUGUCGUCAGCUCGUGUCGUGAGAUGUUGGGUUAAGUCCCGCAACGAGCGCAACCCUUGUCAUUAGUUGCCAUCAUUUGGUUGGGCACUCUAAUGAGACUGCCGGUGACAAACCGGGAGGAAGGUGGGGAUGACGUCAAGUCCUCAUGGCCCUUAUGGGUAGGGCUACACACGUCAUACAAUGGCCGGUACAGAGGGUAGCCAACCCGCGAGGGGGGAGCCAAUCCCACAAAGCCGGUCGUAGUCCGGAUCGCAGUCUGCAACUCGACUGCGUGAAGUCGGAAUCGCUAGUAAUCGCGGAUCAGCAUGUCGCGGUGAAUACGUUCCCGGGCCUU
RNAcentral lists this ribosomal RNA (460 nucleotides) under uncultured Rhodocyclaceae bacterium. RNAcentral describes it as "bacterial SSU rRNA". It matches the Rfam family "Bacterial small subunit ribosomal RNA", at positions 923 to 1382 of the family's 1533-position model. Lineage: Bacteria; Pseudomonadati; Pseudomonadota; Betaproteobacteria; Rhodocyclales; Rhodocyclaceae. The record is from RNAcentral.